RNAcentral lists this ribosomal RNA (504 nucleotides) under uncultured bacterium. Its description in RNAcentral is "partial 16S ribosomal RNA". It matches the Rfam family "Bacterial small subunit ribosomal RNA", at positions 30 to 523 of the family's 1533-position model. The record is from RNAcentral.
AUUGAACGCUGGCGGCAGGCCUAACACAUGCAAGUCGAACGGUAGCACAGAGAGCUUGCUCUCGGGUGACGAGUGGCGGACGGGUGAGUAACGUCUGGGAAACUGCCCGAUGGAGGGGGAUAACUACUGGAAACGGUAGCUAAUACCGCAUAACGUCGCAAGACCAAAGUGGGGGACCUUCGGGCCUCACACCAUCGGAUGUGCCCAGAUGGGAUUAGCUAGUAGGUGGGGUAAUGGCUCACCUAGGCGACGAUCCCUAGCUGGUCUGAGAGGAUGACCAGCCACACUGGAACUGAGACACGGUCCAGACUCCUACGGGAGGCAGCAGUGGGGAAUAUUGCACAAUGGGCGCAAGCCUGAUGCAGCCAUGCCGCGUGUAUGAAGAAGGCCUUCGGGUUGUAAAGUACUUUCAGCGGGGAGGAAGGCGGUGAGGUUAAUAACCUCGCCGAUUGACGUUACCCGCAGAAGAAGCACCGGCUAACUCCGUGCCAGCCGCCGCUGUAA